Molecule: ribosomal RNA, 459 nt
Filed under: uncultured Gammaproteobacteria bacterium
Lineage: Bacteria; Pseudomonadati; Pseudomonadota; Gammaproteobacteria
Description: bacterial SSU rRNA
Rfam family: Bacterial small subunit ribosomal RNA
Source: RNAcentral
GCACUUCGGUGUGAGUAGAGCGGCGGACGGGUGAGUAACGCGUAGAAAUCUACCUAGUAGUGGGGGACAACCUGGUGAAAACCAGGCUAAUACCGCAUACGUCCUACGGGAGAAAGCGGGGGAUCUUCGGACCUCGCGCUAUUAGAUGAGUCUGCGUAAGAUUAGCUAGUUGGUGGGGUAAAAGCCUACCAAGGCGACGAUCUUUAGCUGGUCUGAGAGGACGAUCAGCCACACUGGAACUGAGACACGGUCCAGACUCCUACGGGAGGCAGCAGUGGGGAAUAUUGCACAAUGGGCGAAAGCCUGAUGCAGCCAUGCCGCGUGUGUGAAGAAGGCUCUAGGGUUGUAAAGCACUUUCAAUUGGGAGGAAAAGCUAAUGGUUAAUAACCAUUAGCCUUGACGUUACCUUUAGAAGAAGCACCGGCUAACUCCGUGCCAGCAGCCGCGGUAAUACGGAGG